This is a long non-coding RNA of Cyprinus carpio (common carp), 1389 nucleotides long. The record is from Ensembl. Lineage: Eukaryota; Metazoa; Chordata; Actinopteri; Cypriniformes; Cyprinidae.
GUCUUGAACCUUUUGAUGGCUUCAGAAUCCAGCUCAAAUACUGUGAUGGUUCCAUGAAGUCGAGGAGGUUCCUACCUACACAGUCAUUGCAGGUGUUUCCUACUCUACUCUCUCAUCUUGAGAUUAACAAGCAUGUUAUUUCUCAAUUGGUUCAAAUUUACCAAAAUGUUGUUUGCUAAGAUCUCUUGAUAUUUAAAUUAAGUUGAGCUAUUUUGCAGUACAGUACCAGACAAAAGUUUGGACACAGUUUACCAUCCAAGAAAAUUGGAAAGAGUGUCAAAACUUUUGACUAGUACUGUACAUGAACCUCUGUAUAGGCUAUAAGUGUGUAUGUUUUUCCUGGUAUCUGUUUUUUUUUUUUUUUUUUUGUAUUUAAAUAGAACCUUGGAUUACUAUGGAUUACGCUGGCAAUGACAACUCGGCCAGUGAAAUAUUCUGGUUGAGCAUGCCAAGUGCAGGCACACGGCUAUCAAGCACUAUGACUGGAACUCUUGAAGAACAUAUCUUGACUACACCUUGCACAUUAUUUAUUCAGUGGUUGGAAGGAGAGGAGGUGGAAGCAAUGUGCUAUAGAGAUACUCACAGAGCUCACCAACAAAAUUAAUUUGGAGGAUCGACACACGUCAAAUAUGAUUAAUGCAUGCAGAGAUGACAUUUAUGGAUCUGCACAACGUGCAUUCACUAGACGCCUGUUCGACCCAUAUAAGCCACUGGGAGUCGUGUUUAUGGAUAUUGGCAAUAAUGCAGAAGGGGCAGUGGAUGAUGGUGGGCCAACAUGGGAAUUUUGUUGUCCCCUAAUGAAGGAUAUACAGAACAGGUGCCUGUUUGAAGGGCCAGAUCAUUCAAAAUUACUGGCCCUGGAUAGUCAUGCCAUCUGAAAAGGGGAUUACAAAUUGCUCGGAAAAAUGAUCAGUAUCUGCCUGAUACAUGGUGGUGUAGCACCCCACUUCUUUGCACCACGACUGUUCAGUCUGGUUGUGGGUGAGGCUACAGAAGAUGUGGACCUGACAGAAAUUGUUGAUGAGGUGUUCAGGAGCCAGCUGCAGAAGAUCCAAGAUGCCAUAACCAUCGAGGAGACCAGGGAGGCUUUAGAAGAGGCUUCAAACAGCCUUUCUCUCCUUGGGUCUUUAAACAUCCAGUGUCGGACUCUGGAAGACAGGGUCGUCCAGUGUGCAGCGAAGUUCUACCUGGAGGGGCGACUGAAUGCUGCAAUGGAACAGUUGAGUCAAGAAUUUCAUAUUUGGGACACAUUUUGCCAUCAAGAUGACUGCUCAUAAAAGUACUAAUUGAAUUGAUUCAAGAAGAAAAAAAAAGGCAAAAACAUGAACAAAUUAUUUAAGAUGUGAAAAUAGUAGAAAUCACAACAAACAAACCAAGAUCAGAUAUAUG